RNAcentral lists this non-coding RNA (25 nucleotides) under Rattus norvegicus (Norway rat). The record is from RNAcentral. Lineage: Eukaryota; Metazoa; Chordata; Mammalia; Rodentia; Muridae.
UCAAGAUCAUCUGCCCAGGUGUGCC